Molecule: ribosomal RNA, 388 nt
Filed under: uncultured bacterium
Lineage: Bacteria
Description: bacterial SSU rRNA
Rfam family: Bacterial small subunit ribosomal RNA
Source: RNAcentral
AUUGAACGCUGGCGGAAUGCUUUACACAUGCAAGUCGAACGGCAGCACGGGGCAACCUGGUGGCGAGUGGCGAACGGGUGAGUAAUACAUCGGAACGUGCCCAAUCGUGGGGGAUAACGUAGCGAAAGUUACGCUAAUACCGCAUACGAUCUACGGAUGAAAGCGGGGGAUCGCAAGACCUCGCGCGAAUGGAGCGGCCGAUAUCAGAUUAGGUAGUUGGUGGGGUAAAGGCUCACCAAGCCAACGAUCUGUAGCUGGUCUGAGAGGACGACCAGCCACACUGGAACUGAGACACGGUCCAGACUCCUACGGGAGGCGGCAGUGGGGAAUUUUGGACAAUGGGCGCAAGCCUGAUCCAGCCAUGCCGCGUGCGGGAAGAAGGCCUCGG